This is a long non-coding RNA of Zalophus californianus (California sea lion), 1586 nucleotides long. The record is from Ensembl. Lineage: Eukaryota; Metazoa; Chordata; Mammalia; Carnivora; Otariidae.
GGCGCGUCUCGGCGCUCCCGCUCGCGCUGCGGCUCGCGCUGUCCCCGGCUUGGCCGCGCGGGAUGCCGCCCGGGCGGAGCGCUGACGUCACCGCCAUGCUCUGCACCAGUUCUCCCCCCUCCCUCCCCUUUACACUUCCUCUGUCUGUGGAGCCCACUUGUUGCUCAGGAAAGGCGCAUGCGCGGCAGGACGCCCAGAUUCCUCCCAGUCGGCCCCGCCCCCGCGCCCCCGCCGUCCCCCCCCCCCCCCCCCCACCGUGUGUGUACAACAGCUGAGGCCCUGCGAGCUAAUGCUGGACGUCCUGGACUGGGGGGUGGAAAUUAAACAGACGAUGACCUUUCCUUUCCCCGCCCGGCUUUCCCAAGUAAAAACGCAUUUAAAAACCACAAGCGUCAUUUCCGAUCCCGCUCCCCACCCCACCCCGAGCAGUGCAUUUAAAUGUCCAGUUUCAAGAUUUUCAUUGCGAAUUUCUUCUAGGGUAUUACUCAUUUCGUCUGUAAUCAAACCCCCCCCCCCGUAUGGAUGUUGCAUUCAUUGCUACUACUGAUGCCAAAGCACCUGCAAAAUUAGCUGUUUUCCAUUUGCCCAGAAACUGCCUUUUCGAUUUGUUUUUGUGCUCUGGUCUAGGAACCUGAGUUUCAACGACAGCUAAAUGAAUUCAGGGUGAGCUACUCCUCCUCCCAGUCGCACUCUAAAAAUUUUGGCUGAAUGUCUAAAGAAGCUACGAGCACCCGGAGGCCUUUAAGGAAAACACUGGCUGCGCACAGCUGCAGUUGGGGGCAGGGAUGGGGAAGGUGCUCACGGAGAGGCCAAACAGGGUGGUCAGCAGGUCAUGGCAAGCAGGAGACGUGAUGCUAAUGACUCCGGCUCCACGUGGCGACCAUUCAGGAAAAAGCUGCAAUGUUCUCUCUGCCACAUUAAUCAGAGAAAACCCAUCAAGAGCUGUUGCACGGAGACAGCUUUCCUCCCAGUACCUGCCCUGCAUGCUAAUCACCACCCCUCCUGGCGGUGAGUCAGCUCCAUGCCAGGCGGGUGAGGGAAGGCCAGAAGCACCAGCUCCCUGCGGGUGGGGCGGGGGGGGGGGGGGGGGAGAGCAGCGGGGAGCGGGGGGAGCUAGGCCCCGCCCCCAAACACACUGCCUGUGACCAUCGACCAGAUGAUCGAUGGUGGAGGCCCAGGAAGGUAGGAAUGGCAAAUCCUGGGAGGGUCAAUCCAAAUGUAAACCCUGGGCUCGUUCCUUGGGUCUAGAUCUUUCCCAAGUCUACUAGAGAGAAUUCUCCAGAAGCUGAUCCCUGGACAGAGUCCAGGGUUAAAGCAAGAGGGACCUCACUGCUAGGCACUUUGAUAACAAUAGGACAUUAUCUCUGGUAGAGCUUCACAUGUGGCAGACACACCUGUAAGCACUCUCCAUAUAUUACUCAUUUAAUCUUCAUAAAGCCCUAUGAAGUAAGUACUGUUACUAUUGCCACUGUGCAGAUGAGCAAGGCGACACACAGAGAGGUUAAGUAACCAAUCCAAAGCCACACAGCUAGUAACAACUGACUGGGUUUGAACCCCAGCAGCCAUGCCACAAACCACUCUCCUCC